This 525-nucleotide ribosomal RNA is filed under the name uncultured bacterium. RNAcentral describes it as "bacterial SSU rRNA". It matches the Rfam family "Bacterial small subunit ribosomal RNA", at positions 984 to 1509 of the family's 1533-position model. The record is from RNAcentral.
ACAUCCAGCGAACUUGGCAGAGAUGCCUUGGUGCCUUCGGGAACGCUGAGACAGGUGCUGCAUGGCUGUCGUCAGCUCGUGUUGUGAAAUGUUGGGUUAAGUCCCGCAACGAGCGCAACCCUUAUCCUUUGUUGCCAGCGAUUCGGUCGGGAACUCAAAGGAGACUGCCGGUGAUAAACCGGAGGAAGGUGGGGAUGACGUCAAGUCAUCAUGGCCCUUACGAGUAGGGCUACACACGUGCUACAAUGGCGCAUACAAAGAGAAGCGACCUCGCGAGAGCAAGCGGACCUCAUAAAGUGCGUCGUAAUCCGGAUCGGAGUCUGCAACUCGACUCCGUGAAGUCGGAAUCGCUAGUAAUCGUGGAUCAGAAUGCCACGGUGAAUACGUUCCCGGGCCUUGUACACACCGCCCGUCACACCAUGGGAGUGGGUUGCAAAAGAAGUAGGUAGCUUAACCUUCGGGAGGGCGCUUACCACUUUGUGAUUCAUGACUGGGGUGAAGUCGUAACAAGGUAGGCGUAGCGAG